RNAcentral lists this ribosomal RNA (445 nucleotides) under uncultured bacterium. RNAcentral's name for it is "partial 16S ribosomal RNA". It matches the Rfam family "Bacterial small subunit ribosomal RNA", at positions 339 to 795 of the family's 1533-position model. The record is from RNAcentral.
CUACGGGUGGCACCAGUCGAGAAUCUUCGGCAAUGGGCGAAAGCCUGACCGAGCGACGCCGCGUGCGGGAAGAAGAGCUAAUUGCUUGUAAACCACUUUUAUCGGGGAAGAACUUUUGUGACGGUACCCGAUGAAUAAGGAGGGGCUAAUCACGUGCCAGCAGCAGCGGUAAUACGUGACCUCCAAACGUUAUCCGGAUUUACUGGGCGUAAAGAGUCUUAAGGCGGUUUAGAAAGUUUUUGGUCAAAUUCUUGGGGCUUAACCUCAAGGCCGCCAGAAAUACUUCUAAACUAGAGGACGUUAGGGGCCAGCGGAACGUACGGUGUAGGGGUGGAAUCCGUUGAUAUCGUGCGGAACACCAAAAGCGAAGGCAGCUGGCUGGGGCGGUCCUGACGCUGAAUGACGAAAGCUGAAGUAGCGAAGAGGAUUAGAUACCCUUGUAGUC